Molecule: ribosomal RNA, 361 nt
Filed under: uncultured bacterium
Lineage: Bacteria
Description: partial 16S ribosomal RNA
Rfam family: Bacterial small subunit ribosomal RNA
Source: RNAcentral
CCUACGGGAGGCAGCAGUGAGGAAUAUUGGUCAAUGGCCGGAAGGCUGAACCAGCCAUGCCGCGUGAAGGUCAGUGCCCUAUGGGCGUUAAAGUUCUUUUGUGCGGGAGCAAUAAUGAUCACGUGUGGCCAGACGAGAGUACCGUACGAAUAAGCAUCGGCUAACUCCGUGCCAGCAGCCGCGGUAAUACGGGGGAUGCAAGCGUUUUCCGGGUUAAUUGGGUUGAAAGGGUGCGUGGGCUGUGAGGUAAGUCAGCGGUGAAAUGCCCCCGUCCAACGGGGUGAAGUGCCAUUGAUACUGCCUUGCUGGAAUGCGGAUGCCGUAGGAGGAAUGUGUGGUGUAGCGGUGAAAUGCAUAGAUA